This 1736-nucleotide long non-coding RNA is filed under the name Triticum aestivum (bread wheat). RNAcentral describes it as "long non-coding RNA (TAES_LNC005569)". The record is from RNAcentral. Lineage: Eukaryota; Viridiplantae; Streptophyta; Magnoliopsida; Poales; Poaceae.
CAAGUGAGGUAAUCUUCGCAAACAACCCAUGUAAUACAAUAAAGGAAAAGAUACAUAGUUGGCUUACAAUCGCCACUUCACACAAUUACAUGAAUAAGGCAUUACAUCAACCAAAUACAAUCAAGGCCCGACUACGGAACCAAAAUAAAAGAAGAACCCCAAAUGCGACAAGGUCCCCGAUCGACCCCAACUGGGCUCCACUACUGAUCAAUUAGAACGAAACAACACAAAGGGCAAGAUCUUCAUCGAGCUCCUCCUGAGCUUGGUUGCGUCAUCUGCACGGUCUCAUUGGCACCUGCAAGCUGGUUUUUGAAGUAUCUGUGAGUCACGGGGGCUCAGCAAUCUCGCACCCUCGCGAUCAAGACUAUUUUAGCUUAUAGGAAGGGUAAAAGGUAUGAGGUGGAGCUGCAGCAAGCGACUAGCAUAUAUGGUGGCUAACAUACGCAAAUGAGAGCGAGAAGAGAAGGCAAAGCACGGUCGAGAAACUAUGAUCAAGAAGUGAUCCUAGAACCACCUACGUCAAUCAUAACUCCAACACCGUGUUCACUUCCCGGACUCCGCCGGAAAGAGACCAUCACGGUUACACACGCGGUUGAUGCAUUUUAAUUAAGGUCAACUUCAGGUUUUCUACAACCGGACGUUAACAAAUUCCCAUCUGCCCAUAACCGUGGGCACGGCUUUCGAAAGUUCAAAUCCCUGCAGGGGUGUCCUAACUUAGCCCAUCACAAGCUCUCACGGUCAACGAAGGAAUAGACCUUCUAGCGGGAAGACCCGAUCAGACUCGGAAUCCCGGUUACAAGACAUUUCGACAAUGGUAAAACAAGACCAGCAAAGCCACCCAGAUGUGCCAACAAAUCCCGAUAGGAGCUGCACAUAUCUCGUUCUCAGGGCACACCAGAUGAGCAAGACGUCGGGUAAGCCAGCCCAGAGUUGCCCCUGGUAUCCUCGGACAUUGCUCAGUUGGACCAACACUUACAGAAGCACUGGCCCGGGGGGGUUAAAAUAAGAUGACCCUUGAGCCGGCCGACUCAAGGGAAAGAAAAGGCUAGGUGGCAAAUGGUAAAACCAAUGUUGGGCCUUGCUGGAGGAGUUUUAUUCAAGGCGAACUGCCAAGGGUUCCCAUUAUUACCCAACCGCAUAAGGAACGCAAAAUCCGGGAACAUAACACCGAUAUGACGGAAACUAGGGCGGCAAGAGUGGAACAAAACACCAGGCAUAAGGCCGAGCCUUCCACCCUUUACCAAGUAUAUAGAUGCAUUAAUUAAAUAAGAGAUUGUGAUAUCCCAACAAGUAACAUGUUCCAACAAGGAACAACAUCUCCAUGUUCCAACAAGGAACAAACUUCAAUCUUCACCUGCAACUAACAACGCUAUAAGAGGGGCUGAGCAAAGCGGUAACAUAGCCAAACAACGGUUUGCUAGGACAAGGUGGGUUAGAGGCUUGGUUCAACAAUAUGGGAGGCAUGAUAAGCAAGUGGUAGGUAUCACAGCAUAGGCAUAGCAAAUGAGCGAGCAACUAAGCAAGCAAAGAUAGAAGUGAUUUCGAGGGUAUGAUCAUCUUGCCUGAAAUCCCGCAAGGAAGAAGAACGAGUCCAUGAAGAAGAUAAACGGACGUAGUCGAACGGAUCCUCACAAACGCAACGUUAUCGGAACUAACCCGAAGAAGCAACACCAGAAAGAAAGCAAACCACAUGGUAAACAACCAUCACAUAAGCAUGGCACGAUGCGCAAACAAGU